This 303-nucleotide ribosomal RNA is filed under the name uncultured bacterium. RNAcentral's name for it is "partial 16S ribosomal RNA". It matches the Rfam family "Bacterial small subunit ribosomal RNA", at positions 507 to 807 of the family's 1533-position model. The record is from RNAcentral.
AGCAGUAGCCACGGUAAUACGAAGGGGGCUAGCGUUGUUCGGAUUAACUGGGCGUAAAGGGCACGUAGGCGGCUAUUCAAGUCAGGGGUGAAAGCCCGGGGCUCAACCCCGGAACUGCCUUUGAAACUAGAUAGCUUGAAUCUUGGAGAGGCGAGUGGAAUUCCGAGUGUAGAGGUGAAAUUCGUAGAUAUUCGGAAGAACACCAGUGGCGAAGGCGACUCGCUGGACAAGUAUUGACGCUGAGGUGCGAAAGCGUGGGGAGCAAACAGGAUUAGAUACCCCCGUAGUCCCUGUCUCUUAUAC